AGAAACAUAGAAGGAAAAUAAGAAGAGGCAAAGAAGUAAACAAGGAAUGAAGGAACGGGGGGAAAAGAGAGAAAGAAGAGGAGAGAGUGAAGCUGUACACGAACCUCCAAGCAGGGAUUCGAAACAGUGAUAUGAAGCAAUGUGACUUCUGUACCUACUACUACCAACCCUCUGCCACUCAACCUCCGUGCGUGUUUCGAGAGGUGUGUGUGCAGGAUGACGGCAAACACGUGGAUACCUGGGGAGGGACCAAAUUACAGGUACUACAACAACAACAACAACAACAACUACU
RNAcentral lists this long non-coding RNA (292 nucleotides) under Portunus trituberculatus (swimming crab). RNAcentral's name for it is "uncharacterized LOC123508921, transcript variant X1". The record is from RNAcentral. Lineage: Eukaryota; Metazoa; Arthropoda; Malacostraca; Decapoda; Portunidae.